This 565-nucleotide ribosomal RNA is filed under the name uncultured beta proteobacterium. Its description in RNAcentral is "bacterial SSU rRNA". It matches the Rfam family "Bacterial small subunit ribosomal RNA", at positions 335 to 912 of the family's 1533-position model. The record is from RNAcentral. Lineage: Bacteria; Pseudomonadati; Pseudomonadota; Betaproteobacteria.
ACAUUACGGGAGGCAGCAGUGGGGAAUAUUGCACAAUGGGCGCAAGCCUGAUGCAGCGACGCCGCGUGGGGGAUGACGGCCUUCGGGUUGUAAACCUCUUUCAGCAGGGAAGAAGCGUGAGUGACGGUACCUGCAGAAGAAGCGCCGGCUAACUACGUGCCAGCAGCCGCGGUAAUACGUAGGGCGCGAGCGUUGUCCGGAAUUACUGGGCGUAAAGCGUGCGCAGGCGGUUUUGUAAGUCUGACGUGAAAUCCCCGGGCUCAACCUGGGAAUUGCGUUGGAGACUGCAAGGCUAGAAUCUGGCAGAGGGGGGUAGAAUUCCACGUGUAGCAGUGAAAUGCGUAGAGAUGUGGAGGAACACCGAUGGCGAAGGCAGCCCCCUGGGCCAACACUGACGCUCAGGCACGAAAGCGUGGGGAGCACCACAGGAUUAGAUACCCUGGUAGUCCACGCCCUAAACGAUGUCGACUAGGCGUUGGGGAAGCGAUUCCUUGGUGCCGUAGCUAACGCGUGAAGUCGACCGCCUGGGGAGUACGGCCGCCAAGGUUAAAACUCAAAGGAAUUG